Molecule: ribosomal RNA, 426 nt
Filed under: Afipia sp. oral taxon 652
Lineage: Bacteria; Pseudomonadati; Pseudomonadota; Alphaproteobacteria; Hyphomicrobiales; Nitrobacteraceae
Description: bacterial SSU rRNA
Rfam family: Bacterial small subunit ribosomal RNA
Source: RNAcentral
AGCGAACGCUGGCGGCAGGCUUAACACAUGCAAGUCGAACGGGCGUAGCAAUACGUCAGUGGCAGACGGGUGAGUAACACGUGGGAACGUACCUUUUGGUUCGGAACAACUGAGGGAAACUUCAGCUAAUACCGGAUAAGCCCUUACGGGGAAAGAUUUAUCGCCGAAAGAUCGGCCCGCGUCUGAUUAGCUAGUUGGUGAGGUAAUGGCUCACCAAGGCGACGACCAGUAGCUGGUCUGAGAGGAUGAUCAGCCACAUUGGGACUGAGACACGGCCCAAACUCCUACGGGAGGCAGCAGUGGGGAAUAUUGGACAAUGGGCGAAAGCCUGAUCCAGCCAUGCCGCGUGAGUGAUGAAGGCCCUAGGGUUGUAAAGCUCUUUUGUGCGGGAAGAUAAUGACGGUACCGCAAGAAUAAGCCCGCUAA